GGCAACCCGCUCAGGUCCCCUUCCACACUGUGGAAGCUUUGUUCUUUUGCUCUUUGCAAUAAAUCUUGCUACUGCUCACUCUUUGGGUCCACGCUGCCUUUAUGAGCUGUAACACUCACCACGAAGGUCUGCAGCUUCACUGCUGAAGCCAGCGAGACCACGAACCCACCAGAAGGAAGAAACUCCGAACACAUCUGAACGUCAGAAGGAACAACUCGGGAGGAACGGACGACUCCAGACGCAACGCCUUAAGAGCUGUAACACUCACCGCGAGGGUCCGCAGCUUCAUUCUUGAAGUCAGUGGGACCAAGAACCCACCAAUUCCGGACACAGAACUAAAGAAGGGGGACUGGUCAAUAUCAAAGACUAGGCACUUGUCUGCAAAGAAAAGACAGUUGUGAGUAGCCUGUACAGCAAGCCCUGAAAUUUCAUAGAAAUCUCUGGAGGAAUUCCUUGGAAGACAUAAAGCCAAGUGAGGUAAUGUUUUAUUUCUAUGUGGUCAUCAAACUGCCAUUUGUUUGGUUCAUCCUCAAAGGAGAUAAGUAUCUCAUUUUCACAUCUCUCGAGACAAACAGAGCAAACUUGCACAAAAUCAACAUGAAGUCCCUCUUGGCUUGUAAGAAUACUCACACUUUUGUUCAUAUCCAGUUUAUUUGAAUGCAAUUUUGUGAAGCCUUGGUAAUAUUUCCAUUACAUCUGAAAUACACUGAUCAAUGUGUGAUUUGAGUUUUCCUCAAAAGUCCUCCAUCUUUCUGGGGGGGAAGUAUGAUGUUAAUACAUAGUGGUGUAUCUUAAAGACGUCUGCUGUAUUUUACUUGUUGAAAAACUUAAUGAUAAAUACAUGAAAGGAA
Pan troglodytes (chimpanzee) is the source of this 851-nucleotide long non-coding RNA. RefSeq lists it as uncharacterized. The transcript is spliced from 2 exons. The record is from RefSeq and is a predicted model, not a curated record. Lineage: Eukaryota; Metazoa; Chordata; Mammalia; Primates; Hominidae.